RNAcentral lists this long non-coding RNA (231 nucleotides) under Lathyrus oleraceus (garden pea). RNAcentral describes it as "Pisum sativum (pea) long non-coding RNA (PSAT_LNC019603)". Lineage: Eukaryota; Viridiplantae; Streptophyta; Magnoliopsida; Fabales; Fabaceae. The record is from RNAcentral.
UGCAAUUCAAUUUCAUUCGAUCUCUCCAAUCAGGUUAGCCCUAUAUCCAUCAUCUUUAUGCCUUCAAUUUGAAUUUUCUGAAUAUAUGAGGUAUUAUGGGUGAAUUUGAUACCCUUUUAAUGUAUGUGUUUGACAAGAGGUUUAGGCCUCCUACCCUUGGUUGCUUUUUGUGAGCUUUUUGUGAAUUGAAAGGGCAUGAUUCAUGUGGUUACAUUUUGAUUUGGGGGCAAC